Daucus carota subsp. sativus is the source of this 105-nucleotide non-coding RNA. The record is from Rfam. NCBI's taxonomy places the organism in Eukaryota, Viridiplantae, Streptophyta, Magnoliopsida, Apiales, Apiaceae.
AUACCAUUAUGUGGGCACUUUCGAAGCAUCUCUUUGUAGCGUUCCCGAUCUUCACAAAGAGUUUCACCAGACUGCUGAGAGAAUUGAGUUAGCAUUCCUGAUUGC